AGCCUCAUUCCAUAUGAGAACAGGCACAGUUGAUCACGGUGCCCGGAAUUGCUAAUGUGGCUAAACUGAGACUCAGGUUAUGAUUCCAUUACAAUAAAUUUAUUACAGUGGUGACAAUGAGACCUGUAAUAUAU
Molecule: small nucleolar RNA, 134 nt
Filed under: Dasypus novemcinctus (nine-banded armadillo)
Lineage: Eukaryota; Metazoa; Chordata; Mammalia; Cingulata; Dasypodidae
Description: Small nucleolar RNA SNORA1 (ENSDNOG00000043673.1)
Rfam family: Small nucleolar RNA SNORA1
About the family: ACA1 is a member of the H/ACA class of snoRNA that guide the sites of modification of uridines to pseudouridines.
Source: RNAcentral